This 3542-nucleotide long non-coding RNA is filed under the name Hordeum vulgare. RNAcentral describes it as "long non-coding RNA (HVUL_LNC014011)". The record is from RNAcentral. Lineage: Eukaryota; Viridiplantae; Streptophyta; Magnoliopsida; Poales; Poaceae.
GUGUACAGGCCGGGUGUAAUUAAUAUCUUCGCGAUAUUAAUAUAUUCUUCUUUCCAAAAUAAAUAAAUAAAUUCGAGCAGCAGCAACACUGAGUUGCACGAGUUAACAUGACCACUUAAUUUUUAGCUUCUGUGUAGUAACUUUCAUUUAUUUUUUAAUAUGUAAUGUACUCCUUCUAAUAUUCUUACGUGCAAAGUAUUGGUAGAGUUGUGGCCGGGUUGCCAGAACUGAUGUUGCCUUCUUUUUUUCUUGAUACUCACUAUAUUUCUGGACAAGGUAGUAGAGAAUGGCAUCAAGAUCCUCUUCAAUAGCUCAUUCAGCUUAGCUCAGACAUAGUGAGAAAUCUUAUAUUCAGAAAUAUAAGAUUUUUUUCAUCAAUAUUCAGAAAUAUAAGAUUUUUUUCUUGACACGGAAUUUGACGGUGAACAAUUAUAGGACAUGAGAAUUUAAAAUCUUAUAUUUCUGAAUAUUAUAAGAGUCUUUUUAGUGCACCUAGGGAGUCGUCGAUAUCCUUAGAUGAAAACAAGGUUAACGAUAUAUCUCAACUCAAUGAACAGGAGAAUGAGGUUUUAUCAGCCCCGUUUACAGAAAAAGAGGUGUAUGAAGCAAUUACUAGCAUGAAACAAAAUACAGCGCCGAGACCUGAUGGGUUUCCGACAGAGUUUUAUAAAAAGUGUUGGCACCUGAUUAAGGGGGAUCUCAUGCCUAUGUUCCAAGAUUUGUUCAAUGGACAAUUACAGUUAUUCCACCUUAACUUUGGAACAAUUACGCUGUUGUCAAAAACGGCGGAUGCUAUGUGUAUACAGCAGUUUAGACCGAUUUGCUUGCUUAAUGUCAGUUUCAAAAUUUUCACAAAGGUUGCCACUAAUAGAUUAACGAAGAUAGCAGAUUCUGUGGUUCAGCCAACACAGUCGGCGUUUAUGCCAGGGAGACACAUCUUGGAGGGUGUGGUUGUCCUGCACGAAACGGUCCACGAAAUGCACAGAAAAAACUAGACGGAGUUAUUUUUAAAGUGGACUUUGAGAAAGCCUAUGAUAAAGUCAAAUGGUCUUUCCUGCAAUAAGCCUUAAGGAUGAAAGGAUUCAAUGAAAGAUGGAGAAAGCAGGUUGAUACUUUCAUCAACAAAGGGAGUGUAGGAGUGAAGGUAAAUGAUGACAUUGGUCACUACUUCCAAACGCAUAAGGGGUUAAGGCAGGGUGACUCAAUGUCUCCGGUGUUGUUUAACAUAGUAGCAGAUAUGUUGACGAUACUCAUUGAUAGGGCCAAACACAUGGGUCGUGGAGGUGGUUUUAUUCCACAUCUGAUUGAUGGGGGGAUUUCCAUUUUACAAUAUGCAGAUGAUACAAUUAUUUUCAUGGAGCAUGAUAUGCAGAAAGCGAUUAAUAUGAAAUUGGUGUUAUGUUUAUUUGAACAACUGUCAGGGUUAAAAAUAAACUUUAACAAAAGUGAACUCAUUUGCUUUGGAAAAGCAAAAGAGGAGCAGGAUGCUUAUAGACAGUUAUUUGGAUGUCAAAUAGGAGCACUUCCAAUUAACUACCUCGGGAUUCCGAUUCAUCAUAGGCGACUAACAAUUAAAGAGUGGAAAUGCAUUGAAGAACGAUUUGAAAAGAAAUUAAGCUGCUGGAAGGGUAAGCUUAUGUCCUAUGGAGGAAGGCUGGUGUUAAUUAAUUCGGUGUUAACAAGCCUACCCAUGUUCUUAUUGUCUUUCUUUGAGAUACCCGUAGGGGUACGAAAAAGAUUAGAUUUUUACAGAUCGCGGUUCUUUUGGCAAAGUGAUGAUAAUAAGAAGAAAUACAGAUUGACGCAUUGGGAUAUAAUUUGCAGACCCAAAGACCAGGGGGAUUGGGCAUAGAGAAUCUGGAAGUAAAAAACAGAUGUCUACUCAGUAAAUGGUUGUAUAGAUUAUCCACAGAGACAGAAGAAAUGUGGAUUCAAAUAAUUAAGAAUAAAUACCUGAGCUCAAAAUCACUAGCGCAGGCUACUGCUAGACCUGAUGACUCUCCUUUUUGGAAAGGGUUAAUGAAGAUUAAGAUCAAUUUCUUCGAGAGGGUGAAAUUUAUUGUAGGGAAUGGUGCAUCAACAAGAUUUUGGGAAGAUACUUAGCUUGAACAUACUCCGCUAGCACUACAAUACCCCAUGCUUUACAAUAUUGUUCAACGUAAGCAUGACUAUGUGUCCACAGUGUUACAAUCGACUCCUCUUAAUAUAAACUUCCGACGGUCGUUAGUAGGAGUACGUUGGGAGGCAUGGUUGCAUUUGGUAAGAAGGAUUAUGAACGUACAAUUAUCUGUCCAACCGGAUAAGAUUCGUUGGAUAUUAUCUCGGAAUGGCAGCUUCUCUGUGAAGUCCAUGUAUACGGAGUCCAUGUAUACGGAUCUGAUUAACACAUGACCUUUUCUUAGAUCAAUUCACAUUUGGGAAGUCAAAGUAUCCCUAAGAAUCAAGAUUUUCAUGUGGUUUUUGCACAAAGGUGUGAUUUUGACCAAAGAUAAUCUAAUUAAAUGUAGUUGGAGAGGCAGAGCUAAAUGUUGUUUUUGUGACCAGGAUGAAACAAUAACACAUCUGUUCUUACAUUGCCCUCUUGCAAAACUACUUUGGCGCACGGUGCAUAUAGCUUUUAAUGUGCCCCCACCUACAUGCAUUAAUGCGAUAUUCGCAACGUGGCUCAAUGGAGUAGACGUGCGAAUUUCUAGACUGAUUAGGAUUGGAGUAUGUGCUCUAUUUUGGGCUAUAUGGAACACCAGGAAUGACUUGAUUUUUAAUGGCAACAAAUUCAAUAACUUUUUGCAGGUCAUUUACAGAGCAACUUAUUGGAUCCAUACGUGGUCAUUACUCAGUCAUGUGGACUCCAGGGAGCUUAUGGAUAUUGGGUGCAACCGAUGGGAGAUGGCCGCACGGGUUAUCUUCAACCGAUUUGGAUGACAUGUUAGCAAUAGACUAGGUGUAUAGGCAUCGGAAUCUAUUAUUUUCGCCGGAUGUGGCAGUUCGCUCUUUUAUUUUUAUUUUUUUCAUUGCGAGAUGCAAUUUGUUUUGAAACUUGAAUUAUACUUUGUUAUUUUAAUAAUAUGGCUGCAUGCAUCGAUUGAUGCAGAGGCCGGAGGUCAAGCCUCCAUUUCCAAAAAAAAAAAACUCAGACAUGCUACUUGAUCACAAGUCAGGUCGAAUUUGAUGCCCAGAGUGUAUCCUCCUGCAUGCUGUGGUGUCCCAUGGAUCCGGAAGUUCUUUGGAAGACAUCCAGCCUGAUCCUAGUCAGAGUAGAAAUGAACGGACAAAGAACGCGCAACUAAGAUAAUUUCUUCUGACGCCAUCCAUUCCCAAAACGCAUCACUGUUUGCUUGAUAGCAAGUCCAUAUGUAACUUGUCUUGCACUUGUAACUCAUCAUCUCUCUUUUCCAGUAUUGUCCGAUAUACAACAUUUAUAUGCUAUGAUUAGAAAAAGAGAAUAAGCAGUUUUGAGCAUGUAGGAGUGAAAGAGAAGUAUAUAUGGGCUGCGUUGGCUAAGUUAUUGCUAUGGGUUCAGGAGGUGGGUAGGGUCAUUGUCG